This 253-nucleotide ribosomal RNA is filed under the name uncultured bacterium. Its description in RNAcentral is "partial 16S ribosomal RNA". It matches the Rfam family "Bacterial small subunit ribosomal RNA", at positions 524 to 776 of the family's 1533-position model. The record is from RNAcentral.
UACGUAGGUGGCGAGCGUUGUCCGGAUUUACUGGGCGUAAAGGAUGCGUAGGCGGAUAUUUAAGUGAGAUGUGAAAUACCCGGGCUUAACUUGGGUGCUGCAUUUCAAACUGGAUAUCUAGAGUGCGGGAGAGGAGAAUGGAAUUCCUAGUGUAGCGGUGAAAUGCGUAGAGAUUAGGAAGAACACCAGUGGCGAAGGCGGCUCACUGGACCGGAACUGACGCUGAGGCGCGAAAGCGUGGGGAGCAAACAGG